UACGUAGGUCCCGAGCGUUGUCCGGAUUUAUUGGGCGUAAAGCGAGCGCAGGUGGUUUAUUAAGUCUGGUGUAAAAGGCAGUGGCUCAACCAUUGUAUGCAUUGGAAACUGGUAGACUUGAGUGCAGGAGAGGAGAGUGGAAUUCCACGUGUAGCGGUGAAAUGCGUAGAUAUAUGGAGGAACACCGGUGGCGAAAGCGGCUCACUGGCCUGUAACUGACACUGAGGCUCGAAAGCGUGGGGAGCAAACAGG
Molecule: ribosomal RNA, 252 nt
Filed under: uncultured bacterium
Lineage: Bacteria
Description: partial 16S ribosomal RNA
Rfam family: Bacterial small subunit ribosomal RNA
Source: RNAcentral